GAUGAACGCUGGCGGCGUGCCUAAUACAUGCAAGUCGAGCGAACAGACGAGGAGCUUGCUCCUCUGACGUUAGCGGCGGACGGGUGAGUAACACGUGGAUAACCUACCUAUAAGACUGGGAUAACUUCGGGAAACCGGAGCUAAUACCGGAGAAUAUAUUGAACCGCAUGGUUCAAUAGUGAAAGACGGUUUUGCUGUCACUUAUAGAUGGAUCCGCGCCGCAUUAGCUGGUUGGUAAGGUAACGGCUUACCAAGGCGACGAUGCGUAGCCGACGUGUGAGGGUGGUCGGCCACCCUGGAACUGAGACACGGUCCAGACUCCUACGGGAGGCAGCAGUAGGGAACCUUCCGCAAUGGGCGAAAGCUUGACGGAGCAACGCCGCGUGAGUGAUGAAGGUCUUCGGAUCGUAAAACUCUGUUAUUAGGGAAGAACAAAUGUGUAAGUAACUAUGCACGUCUUGACGGUACCUAAUCAGAAAGCCACGGCUAACUACGUG
This 497-nucleotide ribosomal RNA is filed under the name uncultured bacterium. RNAcentral's name for it is "partial 16S ribosomal RNA". It matches the Rfam family "Bacterial small subunit ribosomal RNA", at positions 28 to 507 of the family's 1533-position model. The record is from RNAcentral.